This 610-nucleotide ribosomal RNA is filed under the name Listeria monocytogenes. Its description in RNAcentral is "bacterial SSU rRNA". It matches the Rfam family "Bacterial small subunit ribosomal RNA", at positions 183 to 779 of the family's 1533-position model. Lineage: Bacteria; Bacillati; Bacillota; Bacilli; Caryophanales; Listeriaceae. The record is from RNAcentral.
GUGGCGCAUGCCACGCUUUUGAAAGAUGGUUUCGGCUAUCGCUUACAGAUGGGCCCGCGGUGCAUUAGCUAGUUGGUAGGGUAAUGGCCUACCAAGGCAACGAUGCAUAGCCGACCUGAGAGGGUGAUCGGCCACACUGGGACUGAGACACGGCCCAGACUCCUACGGGAGGCAGCAGUAGGGAAUCUUCCGCAAUGGACGAAAGUCUGACGGAGCAACGCCGCGUGUAUGAAGAAGGUUUUCGGAUCGUAAAGUACUGUUGUUAGAGAAGAACAAGGAUAAGAGUAACUGCUUGUCCCUUGACGGUAUCUAACCAGAAAGCCACGGCUAACUACGUGCCAGCAGCCGCGGUAAUACGUAGGUGGCAAGCGUUGUCCGGAUUUAUUGGGCGUAAAGCGCGCGCAGGCGGUCUUUUAAGUCUGAUGUGAAAGCCCCCGGCUUAACCGGGGAGGGUCAUUGGAAACUGGAAGACUGGAGUGCAGAAGAGGAGAGUGGAAUUCCACGUGUAGCGGUGAAAUGCGUAGAUAUGUGGAGGAACACCAGUGGCGAAGGCGACUCUCUGGUCUGUAACUGACGCUGAGGCGCGAAAGCGUGGGGAGCAAACAGGAUU